RNAcentral lists this ribosomal RNA (631 nucleotides) under Salmonella enterica subsp. enterica serovar Enteritidis. Its description in RNAcentral is "partial 23S ribosomal RNA". It matches the Rfam family "Bacterial large subunit ribosomal RNA", at positions 1 to 666 of the family's 2925-position model. Lineage: Bacteria; Pseudomonadati; Pseudomonadota; Gammaproteobacteria; Enterobacterales; Enterobacteriaceae. The record is from RNAcentral.
GGGUUGUGAGGUUAAGCGACUAAGCGUACACGGUGGAUGCCCUGGCAGUCAGAGGCGAUGAAGGGCGUACUAAUCUGCGAUAAGCGCCGGUAAGGUGAUAUGAACCGUUAUAACCGGCGAUACCCGAAUGGGGAAACCCAGUGUGAUUCGUCACACUAUCAUUAACUGAAUCCAUAGGUUAAUGAGGCGAACCGGGGGAACUGAAACAUCUAAGUACCCCGAGGAAAAGAAAUCAACCGAGAUUCCCCCAGUAGCGGCGAGCGAACGGGGAGGAGCCCAGAGCCUGAAUCAGCAUGUGUGUUAGUGGAAGCGUCUGGAAAGGCGCGCGAUACAGGGUGACAGCCCCGUACACAAAAGCGCAUGUGCUGUGAGCUCGAUGAGUAGGGCGGGACACGUGGUAUCCUGUCUGAAUAUGGGGGGACCAUCCUCCAAGGCUAAAUACUCCUGACUGACCGAUAGUGAACCAGUACCGUGAGGGAAAGGCGAAAAGAACCCCGGCGAGGGGAGUGAAAAAGAACCUGAAACCGUGUACGUACAAGCAGUGGGAGCACCCUUUGGGUGUGACUGCGUACCUUUUGUAUAAUGGGUCAGCGACUUAUAUUCUGUAGCAAGGUUAACCGAAUAGGGGAGC